UUUCAAAACUGUUUCAAUAAAAUAGCGAAUAAACAACAAGUCACAGAAAAAGCGGGAUACCAAUCGCCAUAUGGAGGCAUGGACAAUGGAAUGUACGGCGUGGCGG
Long non-coding RNA from Ostrinia nubilalis (European corn borer), 106 nucleotides. RefSeq lists it as uncharacterized. Lineage: Eukaryota; Metazoa; Arthropoda; Insecta; Lepidoptera; Crambidae. The transcript is spliced from 3 exons. The record is from RefSeq and is a predicted model, not a curated record.